RNAcentral lists this ribosomal RNA (496 nucleotides) under uncultured bacterium. RNAcentral describes it as "partial 16S ribosomal RNA". It matches the Rfam family "Bacterial small subunit ribosomal RNA", at positions 29 to 507 of the family's 1533-position model. The record is from RNAcentral.
AUGAACGCUGGCGGCGUGCCUAAUACAUGCAAGUCGAGCGAACAGACGAGGAGCUUGCUCCUCUGACGUUAGCGGCGGACGGGUGAGUAACACGUGGAUAACCUACCUAUAAGACUGGGAUAACUUCGGGAAACCGGAGCUAAUACCGGAUAAUAUAUUGAACCGCAUGGUUCAAUAGUGAAAGACGGUUUUGCUGUCACUUAUAGAUGGAUCCGCGCCGCAUUAGCUAGUUGGUAAGGUAACGGCUUACCAAGGCGACGAUGCGUAGCCGACCUGAGAGGGUGAUCGGCCUCACUGGAACUGAGACACGGUCCAGACUCCUACGGGAGGCAGCAGUAGGGAAUCUUCCGCAAUGGGCGAAAGCUUGACGGAGCAACGCCGCGUGAGUGAUGAAGGUCUUCGGAUCGUAAAACUCUGUUAUUAGGGAAGAACAAAUGUGUAAGUAACUAUGCACGUCUUGACGGUACCUAAUCAGAAAGCCACGGCUAACUACGUG